GUUUUCUCAUGUUCGUAAAUGUUGAUCGUCUAGUGCAUGGCAGCGUUUGUAGGGAUAAGCGACUUGCUGCUAAAGUUCCGUUUUCUUGCCUCAUUAGCAAAGAGGAGCAGGGUUCCUGCAAUGUAAGUGGCAAGGUCUCCGGGAGGGGCACACUGGACAUGCAGUCGCAAAUUGAAUGUUCUGAAACACCACUGCUUGAUGAGACUUCCUCCAACGACAGAAGAAAAUGCUAGGACUACAUUAUUGCAGUGGCGUAGAAAGCAAUUAAAAAGUGGUGCGGCC
This is a long non-coding RNA of Corticium candelabrum, 282 nucleotides long. RefSeq lists it as uncharacterized. The record is from RefSeq and is a predicted model, not a curated record. The transcript is spliced from 3 exons. Lineage: Eukaryota; Metazoa; Porifera; Homoscleromorpha; Homosclerophorida; Plakinidae.